UACGGAGGGUGCAAGCGUUGUCCGGAUUUAUUGGGUUUAAAGGGUGCGCAGGCGGCGCGUUAAGUCAGUGGUGAAAUCCUCCCGCUCAACGGGAGAACUGCCAUUGAUACUGGCGUGCUUGAGUACGGACGAGGUAGGCGGAAUUUAUGGUGUAGCGGUGAAAUGCAUAGAUACCAUAAAGAACACCGAUAGCGAAGGCAGCUUACUAGACCGUAACUGACGCUCAUGCACGAAAGCGUGGGGAUCGAACAGG
RNAcentral lists this ribosomal RNA (253 nucleotides) under uncultured bacterium. Its description in RNAcentral is "partial 16S ribosomal RNA". It matches the Rfam family "Bacterial small subunit ribosomal RNA", at positions 524 to 776 of the family's 1533-position model. The record is from RNAcentral.